Anolis carolinensis (green anole) is the source of this 2757-nucleotide long non-coding RNA. RefSeq lists it as uncharacterized. The record is from RefSeq and is a predicted model, not a curated record. The transcript has 2 exons. NCBI's taxonomy places the organism in Eukaryota, Metazoa, Chordata, Lepidosauria, Squamata, Anolidae.
AUUCUGGGUUAUAUGGCUGUGUGGAAUAACCCAAAGAAACAGAAGUGAGUCAACUGUGAAGGAACUGGAUAAGCUCUCCAAGUGUAAGGAUACAGCCCUAAAUACAAAAGUUAGAAUCAUCUAGACCACAGAACUUUGCAUUUCUAUUGUUGUGAAAACCAAUCAGGAAGAGAGUUGAGAUAAAGAGAAUCAAUUUGUCUGGAAUGUAGUGCUGAAGGAGACCUCUAUGGAUACAAUGGACAGGUAAAAGGAGGAGGAGAAGGAGGAGGAGGGGGUCCCCUCGAUUGCCUCAAGCUCACAAAGUUCCAAUGGCCUAUACUGAUUGUACCAAUGAGCAAACUGAACACUGAUACCACUAAAGUCCAUUUUCUGUUUCAUCUUCAUUUUAAAAGGAUUCUGAAAUGUAUAGGUCUUUAGAUGCUAUUGAACUAUACCUACCAACAUCCCUCAACAUUUGCUAUGUCAGUUAGGGCUGAUGGAAGCUGCUGUCCAACAACAUCUGCAGAGUUGUAUAUUCUCCAUUCCUUUUUUUGUAUGUCUCAAUCUCAUUCCUCCCUGGAUUAAAUAAUUUCAGACAACAUAGAUAACCAGUUUACCAUAUGAUCAAACAUUCUGUCAAUAGAUUUACUUAGUUAUCUAUUGUAAGUGAUGUAAUAGACUGGAAUCAGAAUGGCUUGUCAAUUUUGUGUUUUCAUCCAUCUAGCAGUAAUAAAUGCAGAGUUAAACAGAGAAAACACUUUCAUUCCAUAACAGCAGAUCCUGAUGCAACAUUAAAUAUGGAACCAAACAUGGAAUAUGGUUAAAUAUGAUUACCUGUAUUUCUGCAAACUGCAUGUGUUUUUAAGAAACCAGCAAAACAAGCCUAAGACAUUUCACUAUCUAAACAAAGGAUAAAAUUGAAUCUGCUGCCUGAAUUCCUUGUGCAGCCUUUGAUCAGAUCGAUAGCUGAAUCUCACAUUGGCAUUUUUGAUGGCGCCAAAUUUUUUCUCUCAAGCAGCAGGCAACUUAGGGGACAUGGCACUCAACUUCAAAAUCUUGAUGGUGAUUUCCAGUCCCUUGCACCCGAGUUGACUGCAUCACCCUGUCUAACAAUAUUGCUGAUCAUGGAAAUGAAUAUUUUUUCUACUUUUCCAUUCUGUAGUCAUCCUUUAUUUGAGUGUGCUUUCUGCUCAUCAUUCAUUCUAGUAAGAGAUGAAGGGAGAGCCAGUUUGAAUCACCUCUGACCUGAGGAGUCAACAUAUGGUAGUAUAAGUUUAUACAAUCCUUCUUCAGUUCAUUUUAAAGAAAAAGCACAUACCUUUGGGAAAUAUUUAAAAUUUUGUUGGAGGACAUAUAUCUUAGGUAUAUGUUGGACCUCUGCAAUAUAAGAAAUGUUCAGAAGCCCUAACUGAGAGAAAAUAUACUUAAUUUAUUUUAUUAGUCUUUUGUAGUUGUGUAUCAACAUAAAAUAACAAGGAACUAUGUAAUAUGGUCUUUCUGCUUCUGCUUUUCCACAACUUAUUAGCAUGCAAAUUGGGAGCCGUAAAGGGUGUAGCUCCAGGGAAGCUAAAUUAAAGCUUCUUGAAAAAACAAUUUUCUUGAGAAAACCUUAUGCAAUAGCUACUAGCUAAUCAAUCUGGUAGAGAAAUGGCCCAUCAUGAAUCUUAGAAUUGGACAAUUAAAAUUGCAUUCCUGUCAAAAUAAAACAGACAUAUAAAAACUAUACAGAUAUGUUUAAGACAAAACAAACAUUGUGAAAUAUUUUAAUUUUCAUCUUAAUUGCUCUAAUGCCUACUUUGCCUCAGGCUUCUUGUAUGAAAUAAUAAGUUGAAUAGUUUAAAUUCUAAAAUGGAAAAUGGGACAAACCUUGUUUGCCUAUAUUAUCUGCCACUAGAUAGCUUUUUAUGACAGGGGUUCUCAAACUUUUUCAGUCACAGAGCCCUUUUUGAAGCAAAGGUUUCUUGUACAGCCCCAAGAAAUUUUUAUAUAUUAUAUUAUAUCAUGAAGGAAAGGCACAGUCAGAUGGCCACCCAGACUUUGUAAUACUACUACUACUACUACUACUACUCCCUUCUGCCAUGCAGGAAAAGCACAAUCAAAGCACCCCCUGAGUGGUGGGAGGUAAAUAGCAUUUUGGAAGCAAGGAAGAAGAAAGGAAAAGACUUUUGGGGCUACGGCAAGGGAGGUGGGGAAGCAGGAAAGAGCAGAGAAAGCCGGAGGGAGUGAGAGGGGGAAGGAACCAUGGAGCCCCUCAGUAUGUUUUAUGAAUCCUCAAGAACGCUACAGAGCACACUUUGAGAACCCCUGCUUUGUGGUAUCAGUGCUCUGGAACAAGCAAGAACUGCUUAUAAUGUUUUGUUUUGCUUUGCUUUGUUUUGUUAGGUAACUUUUGCAUAUUCCACAAAUGAAAAAACCUACACUCUGAAGUGAAUUUGAUUUAAAAAGGUAAUGUCCUUACUUAGAAUGGACCUACAUUACAGCUGUAUUACACCUCAUAAUCAAAGGCUACCAAAAUACAGUUUUGUAUUUUGGUAGCCUUUGAUUAUCAACAUCUUGCUGUUACACGGUUGUCCAUGGACCACAUCCCAUUCAGGGCAGAAAGUGGGGGGAAUUGUCUUAUCAUAGUGUUGCCUGCCUUUCUGUUUUUAAGAAAAAUUGAUAAUUAAUUAAUCUUCAUCACACAUGAUGGACUCGAUCCAUUUCUAGACAAAUCCUCCAUUUAUUGAGCUAUCACGCAGGGAAUGUAAUCUUCACCCAUACCGCUUUCUCUUCUUUUUU